CCCCCCUUCGCUUCCCGCCCCAGACGUCACUUCCGGGGGCAGGGCCGCAGCGCUGCGAGCCGCGGGGUGACGGGGCGGCAGCGUGAUGGCGGCCGCGGGGCACCGGCAGCCGCGGCGGCUCGGGGCGCCGGGGGUGCUGCGCCGCACCUAACUCGGCGUCGGGCCCCUGCGCCAUGGCGGGCGGCCGCGGCGGGCGGCUGGCCUGAGGCGGCGGCGCGGCAGCGGAGGGCGCGGCACUGCACUGCCCGGGGGUCCCGCCGCGGGGCCGCGACCCGCGCCGCCGGGCAUGUUGCGCUGGGUCCGCCAGCAGCUGGGUUUUGACCCACCACAUCAAAGUGAUACACGAACUAUUUAUAUAGCAAAUCGUUUUCCCCAGCAUGGCCAUUAUGUUCCUCAGAAAUUUGCAGACAACAGAAUCAUAUCAUCCAAGUAUACAGUGUGGAAUUUUGUUCCAAAAAACUUAUUUGAACAAUUCAGAAGAGUAGCCAACUUUUAUUUUUUGAUUAUAUUUUUGGUUCAGCUCAUGAUCGAUACCCCUACCAGUCCUAUUACCAGUGGAUUGCCGUUAUUCUUUGUCAUAACUGUGACAGCCAUAAAACAGGGUUAUGAAGACUGGCUACGACAUAAAGCAGACAAUGAAGUAAACGGUGCUCCAGUUUAUGUUGUUAGAAGCGGUGGUCUUGUAAAAACUAGAUCUAAAAAUAUUCGGGUGGGUGACAUUGUCAGAGUAGCCAAAGAUGAGACAUUCCCUGUUGAUCUGGUGCUUCUGUCAUCUGAUCGAGUGGACGGUUCGUGUCAUGUUACUACUGCAAGUUUGGAUGGAGAGACCAAUCUUAAGACACAUGUUGCGGUCCCAGAAACAGCAGUGUUACAGUCAGUUGCCAACCUGGACAAACUUGUCGCUGUUAUAGAAUGUCAGCAGCCAGAAGCAGACCUAUACAGAUUUGUUGGAAGAAUAACUAUAAGUCAGCAAAUUGAGGAAAUUGUACGACCUCUUGGGCCUGAAAGUCUCUUACUUCGUGGAGCAAGAUUAAAAAACACUAAAGAAAUAUUUGGUGUUGCAGUGUAUACAGGUAUGGAGACAAAGAUGGCAUUAAAUUACAAGAGUAAAUCUCAGAAACGGUCAGCAGUGGAAAAGUCUAUGAAUUCCUUCUUGAUUAUUUAUCUAAUAAUCCUCCUCUUUGAAGCCAUUCUGAGUACUAUUUUAAAAUAUGCAUGGCAAGCUGAAGAAAAAUGGGAUGAGCCUUGGUAUAAUGAAAAAACGGAGCAUGAAAGAAACAGCAGUAAGAUUCUGAGAUUUAUUUCAGAUUUUCUUGCUUUUCUGGUACUUUACAAUUUUAUCAUACCUAUUUCACUUUAUGUGACUGUUGAGAUGCAGAAAUUUCUUGGAUCUUUUUUUAUUGGCUGGGAUCUUGACCUCUAUCACGAAGAAACAAACCAGAGAGCACAAGUAAAUACUUCAGACCUCAAUGAGGAGUUGGGACAGAUAGAAUACGUGUUUACAGACAAAACCGGUACAUUAACUGAAAAUGAGAUGCAGUUUCGUGAGUGCUCCAUUAAUGGCAUAAAGUACCAAGAGAUCAAUGGGAAACUAACUCCAGAGGGACUGUCUGAAGAUUGUCCAGAUGGAAAUAGGCAUAGUUUGGUGAAAGAGGAAGAGCUCUUCUUGAAAGCAGUUUGUCUUUGUCAUACAGUGCAGAUCAAUGCAGAUCAAACAGAUGGUGCUGAUGGUCCCUGGCAUGCCAGUGGAAUAGCAUCCCCAUUGGAAUAUUAUGCUUCUUCACCCGAUGAGAAAGCUUUAGUUGAAGCUGCAAGCCGUGUUGGAGUAGUCUUCACUGGAACUAGUGGGGACACUAUGGAAGUAAAAAGUCUUGGAAAACCAGAAAGGUAUAAAUUGCUUCAUGUUUUGGAGUUUGAUCCGAAUCGCAGACGAAUGAGUGUCAUUGUAGAGAGUCCUUCAGGGGAAAAGCUUUUAUUCACAAAGGGAGCAGAAUCUUCUAUUCUUCCUCGUAGUAAGAGUGGAGAAAUAGAUAAAACAAGGAUACAUGUGGAUGAAUUUGCCUUGAAAGGACUAAGAACUUUGUGCGUAGCCUACAGAAGAUUCACACCUGAGGAGUAUCAAGAAAUUGGCAAACGCCUUCAUGAGGCCAGGACUGCCUUACAGCAACGGGAAGAAAAAUUAGCAGAUGUAUUCAACUUCAUAGAGAGGGAUCUGGAAUUGCUUGGGGCUACAGGAGUAGAAGACAAACUGCAGGAGAAAGUCCAAGAAACUAUAGAAGCCCUCAGGUUGGCUGGUAUCAAAGUGUGGGUACUCACUGGAGAUAAGCAUGAAACUGCUGUUAGUGUCAGUUUGUCGUGUGGACACUUUCACAGAACCAUGAACAUCCUUGAACUUGUGCAGCACAAAUCAGACAGUACAUGCGCAGAGCAACUGAGGCAGCUAGCCAAGAGAAUAAAGGAAGACCAUGUUAUCCAGCAUGGACUGGUUGUGGAUGGGACCAGCCUCUCUCUCGCACUCAGGGAACAUGAAAAAAUGUUCAUGGAUGUUUGUAAAAACUGUUCUGCAGUGUUGUGUUGUCGCAUGGCACCUCUUCAGAAAGCAAAGGUAGUGCGACUGUUAAAAACCUCUCCAGAGAAACCUAUAACAUUAGCGAUUGGUGAUGGUGCUAAUGAUGUGAGCAUGAUACAAGAAGCACAUGUUGGCAUAGGAAUCAUGGGUAAGGAAGGAAGACAAGCUGUAAGAAACAGUGACUAUGCAAUAGCACGGUUUAAAUUCCUCUCCAAGUUGCUUUUUGUUCAUGGCCACUUUUACUAUAUUAGAAUAGCAACCCUUGUACAGUACUUUUUUUAUAAGAAUGUGUGCUUUAUUACACCACAAUUUUUAUAUCAGUUCUUCUGUUUGUUUUCACAACAAACACUCUAUGACAGUGUAUACCUGACUUUGUACAAUAUUUGUUUCACUUCCUUGCCUGUCCUCAUCUACAGUCUUUUUGAACAGCAUGUGCAUCCGCAUGUAUUACAGAGUAAACCUGUGCUCUAUCGAGACAUCAGUAAAAAUGCCCAUCUGGGGUUUAAACCAUUUCUUUACUGGACCGUCUUGGGCUUCUUUCAUGCAUUUGUUUUCUUUUAUGGCUCAUAUCUUCUAAUGGGAGAAGACACUUCUCUGCUGGGAAAUGGCCAGAUGUUUGGAAACUGGACAUUUGGUACUUUGGUCUUCACCAUCAUGGUUAUAACUGUUACAAUGAAGAUGGCACUAGAAACUCACUUCUGGACAUGGAUAAACCAUUUUGUUACUUGGGGAUCCAUUGUAUUUUAUUUCAUAUUCUCCUUGUUUUAUGGGGGAAUUAUCUGGCCAUUUUUACAUACCCAGGACAUGUACUUUGUAUUUGUUCAACUGUUGUCAAGUGGUUCUGCUUGGUUUGCCAUAAUAAUCAUAGUAGUUGCUUGUUUGUUUCUUGAUGUGGUGAAGAAAGUGCUGUACAGACAUCUACAACCAACAAGUACAGAAAAAGCUCAGAUGUACUCCAACAGAGUUGCUUUAAGUGACGAGUUCAUCGCACUGCAGCCAUUGUCCAGGGCCAGGAAUCAGCUGAGCAAAAUUAGCUUACUGAGACAGGUUCAGGUAUCAACUGCUUGGACUCCAUGUGCUGCUUCUCAGAUGGGGAAACAGCAUGCACACCUCUUAGAAGAAUGCUGGAACGACUAAUGGGAAGAUGUAGUCCAACCCGGGUCAACAGAUCAUGGAGUUCAUCGGAUCCCUUCUAUGCCAACGACAGAAGCUUCUUGACUCUCUCCACAAUGGACUCACCCACUUGUUAACAGGGACAUUUCUAAAUGCCUUGUGGAAGCCAUGUGGUGCUCACAUACCUAUAGCAGGUUUUGAAGUGAGUUCAGUGCUAUAUCCCUGCCCUAGAAAAGACUAGCAUGACCUUAACUUCUAAAUACACGCUGUGGUUUGUCUUGUGGCCUAGCAUAACGUUCAUCUGGACAGUAAUUGCUUCCAGUAAUUUUUCUAAUCAUAUCCCCAAGUUGCUAAAUAAUUUUUAAUAAGCAAUGCUUUUACCUCUAUGCUUUUACCUCUGACCACUUAAUCUCUCUUGCUACCACAUUAACAGAUUGGAAUCCUGCAUUUGAUACUUCAAAUGUCACUAUGACAUAGUGGCAGAAUCUUUGUCCUCCCAAAUCCGAGUGAUCUAAUAGAACUGAAUAUACACAGUGAAAAUACAGUAAGCUACAUUUUUCAUGAUGAUCCUUCACUUCACAUACACACGUUCAUUUUGAGCUGUCUUUCACAGUUGCUGUCUUAGUAGUUUGCAAAUCAGUCUUGUUUUUUCCCAUGGACAGUUACUAUAUUCUGCAAGCAAUGAGUUUAGCAGUUUUUGAGAGCAAAAUGCAAUUCAAAUAUUUAUGCUGGUUAAUGAAUGGCAGUAUGGUUUUCGUCACUUUGAAAAAGACUAUUAACUUCCAAAACAAUAAUUUGGAACAACAGGGGAAAUAACGGUUCGCUGUUCUCUUUAGAACCCAGUCAUUUUCCAUUAUGCCCUGGUGUUUUGUUAACAAUUAUUGAUCCUGACAUGGGAAAAUGGGAAAGAAGAAUGUGAAGUUGAUUGUGCAGGUGUCUCACUAGCAUAAAAUUUUUGAAUAAUUAAUCCUUUUACAGUUGGGGAAUUUUUGCAUGUUUUAUUCUUUCUAAUGUAUUUAUAUUUGGUCAUGUUGUACUUUGAAGAUAUAAUUAAUGCUUAAUUAUCUUCAUAUAUCAGAAGGAUCUGACACACUGAUGGCAAUGUUUUGAUACCUAAGUAUGCCAAUAAAAACAAGUUGCACAGGUGCAGCUUUGAAUGUGUUUGUAAGGUUACCGAAGAAACACGCAUUUAAACAGUUCAGGAAGAACUUAAGAAUCCAUCUGUCUGCUAAGGUAUAUUUUUCUAUUUGCAGUAAAUCUAAAUCAGUAAUUUCUCAUUUAAUAAGAAUGUAGAAUUGGUUUCCAUAAGACCAGAUUUUUGGUCUGACAAAUAAUGUAGAUGGGAAAAGUGACUGUGUUUUGUUAAUGUCACAAAUCAUUUAAAAUAGCUUUUACUCAAGGAAGGAAGCUUUUGUGUACUUUGCUAAAGCGUAUGAAACAUUCACCAUACGUUGGGUACGGUAUAGAGUUCUACACAAAGAUGACAAUAUAUCUAAUUUAGUUUAACAGUAGCAUUAAUCUCUUUGAUUUAGAGUGAAUGGGUGAGGAAGAAUUUGCCACACAGAGGAAAUGUUUUAGAAUUCCCUCUUAGCCUUGAAGUGUGUGGAGGAUUCCAAGAAGCGUUUCCUGUACGGCGGAAAAGCCUACGGUAGACAACCUUAGCUCGCUAACGCAAGGAUGGUGUUUAGUCAGCCUUUACUAUGCAGUGUCUCUGUGAGAGCACCUUCUCCACAGCCACCUUCAGAAUAGGAUUGAAUCCUCAGCUGAUCUUAGUUCCUGUUUUAUGAAAAAUGGAGUUUGAUAUUCGUUGUUUUGAAAACCAUAGUUUCAGUUGCCAAAUGCGUGCUUUUUUUAAGGUGCAGUGGAGAAGAUGAGAAACAGGUGGGAAAGUGUUCUGAAUUGUUUCGCAAACUAAAAUGUAUAUAUUCUGCUUAAAAUGUCCUGUAUAUUUUUUAAGAUUAUAAGGGGGAGGGGGGCAAAAAUGCGAAGGAAGGAAUGCCGAAAACUUUGGCAUUACAUUUUCAGAACGAUUUAUGGUUUUUUGUGCAAAAGGUUAUUUGAGAAAAGAUUAUGCAACCUAGAAUGCAUAUUAAGCAACUAUAAUUUCUUACUGGAAACAUUUGGUAAUACUUUCAAACAAUUUUUUAAUGAUAGGAUAACUUCUAUAUUGGAAAAAUCUCAUUUUCUAGUGUUAGAAAUGUUUCAAAGCUGUUGAAUCAGUAGUCUACGUUAAUUUUAAUUGUUUUAUCUGACACUUCCUAUACUUCUAAAUAACACAGCAGUAUUGGUGAAAUUCAGUAUUCAAAAGUGCUUAAUCCAUAUGCUUCUGAACCAUUUAUUUUGAGAAUGUCUUGGUUUUUUGGUGUAGAAUACCCAAUAGCUCUGUGACCAUCAUAAAUGUGCAAUUACUGCUGCAUUAUUUUACAGUCAUUAUUGUUUCAACUUACAUUCCUAGAGCUGGGCGAACCAUUCAUCAUGGAAACACAGACUGAUUUGAGCCUUUUUUCUGUUCCUGUUAUCUCCCCGUUAGACUUUUCUUUUUUGCAGAAACUCGUUCUUUGCAAAACCUGUUUUUUUUCUGCAGAUGUUUUUAUUGUUGGUUGUUUUGUAUGUUCUUUGUUUCUAUUGUUUGCUUUCAGUGGCAUGAUUUGUCUGGUUUCUGCUCCCUGUUUCAAUGACCUAAUUUAUAAGCAGGAGGAAAGAAUGGAUGCUCGUGGCUGUAUCAACUCUUGCCAUUGAUCGUCUUAGAAACACAUUUGCACCUGUAUUUGCAGAGCUUCUGCUUUCCACAGAUUUUUCAGAUUUUUCCUUCAGCUAAAUACUGCUCAUGGAGAUGUCAAAAAUAACUCAAUAGAGAGACCUCGUGUGCUGUCCAAAGCUUCUGUGGCUUUCGUUAAAAUGAAUGUUCUCAUCUCUCUGAAGUAUUCGCCUUGCUCUAGCUGUUGCCACGCUAUGAUGUGGUUUUACAAUAAGUAUAUACAAUUGUCAUCACUGUAGAUCCAAUUUUUUAUUGUUGUUUCCAGGAUGUAUAAAUGCAUGGACAUGAAUAAAACCUGAGGGGCCAUGGGCAAAAGACCUCUAUAUAUAACAUGAAGCAGUAUGAGGGACCGCACUAUGAAAAACAAUGCAGUUUACAACAUAAAGUGUGAUUUGCCUGAAAGAACCCCUAAAAUAUAUCUAUAUGUGUAGUGACAUAUAUUAUGUUGUUUCUCAACAGUUUUAAAGGGAGUUACUUCAUAUAUCAUCGGAGUCCAGUCAUUCAUACCUUUCUUGCAUUGGCACUGGGGUGAAAGAUAAUGCAUGGGGCAUAUAGCUCAGAAAGGGAAAAACGCUUAAAAAUUAGGCUCACUUUCAGGUAUAACUAAGAGGUUAUUACUACACCAAAGAGUAUAUUUUUGAGAUUCCCAAUUAUGGUCCUGCUAGAGUUCUCAGUUCUUUUGUACAUUUAAGAAUAAAUCAUCUAGACUUUUAAUCACUGAAAUAUGAUCAAGUUCUGCUUGUUCUUACUGAAGAGAAAACUUGAGUGAUAUCUGUGCAAGAAGCACUGGAUGGUACCUUUUUAGUGAUGUUGAUCUAACUCCUUAAUUUUAGGCAAAUAAGGGGCAUUGACAACUGGAAACUGUAGCAAUAAUUAGUAGAAAGAAUUUUGGACCUCUGACACUGUGGCUGCCUCAUGUUCUUUUUAGACUUCCUGACGGCGAGUCAGGAUGCUUGCUCAUUGUACAGCUCUGUCAGUCAAUGUUGUUUUGAAAAAGUUUAUGGAAAUUAUAUUUAUUAAAUAAAACUUCCACUUCUA
This is an RNA transcript of Dromaius novaehollandiae (emu), 7478 nucleotides long. It is a transcript of the gene named ATPase phospholipid transporting 11B (putative), with no coding region annotated. The transcript is spliced from 32 exons. Lineage: Eukaryota; Metazoa; Chordata; Aves; Casuariiformes; Dromaiidae. The record is from RefSeq and is a predicted model, not a curated record.